GCUUGAGAGCUGACAACUCCCAUACAUCUGCCAGUCAGGGCUAUGCUAAGUCUCUCUACCACACCUCGUCCAGAGCAGAGGGACAGAAAGCCCCCUGCCCAGCCCAGGGAUAGCCAGACCGCUGAGAGGAUGAAACUCUGACAAGCCGACAGACCGCAGGGAAACGAGCACAACUGUCUCCUUAACCUUUGCAGAAGGCUUAUUGACUCUGGAUAACCUUGCACAGAGCUAGCAGAGGGAGGACAGGAGAUGAUGAGCACGCUGAAGGAAGGGAAGGCGGCCCGGCCC
Molecule: long non-coding RNA, 288 nt
Filed under: Salmo trutta (river trout)
Lineage: Eukaryota; Metazoa; Chordata; Actinopteri; Salmoniformes; Salmonidae
Description: lncRNA (ENSSTUG00000014740.1)
Source: RNAcentral